CAGUCGAACGCUUCUUUUUCCACCGGAGCUUGCUCCACCGGAAAAAGAGGAGUGGCGAACGGGUGAGUAACACGUGGGUAACCUGCCCAUCAGAAGGGGAUAACACUUGGAAACAGGUGCUAAUACCGUAUAACAAUCRAAACCGCAUGGUUUUGAUUUGAAAGGCGCUUUCGGGUGUCGCUGAUGGAUGGACCCGCGGUGCAUUAGCUAGUUGGUGAGGUAACGGCUCACCAAGGCCACGAUGCAUAGCCGACCUGAGAGGGUGAUCGGCCACAUUGGGACUGAGACACGGCCCAAACUCCUACGGGAGGCAGCAGUAGGGAAUCUUCGGCAAUGGACGAAAGUCUGACCGAGCAACGCCGCGUGAGUGAAGAAGGUUUUCGGAUCGUAAAACUCUGUUGUUAGAGAAGAACAAGGAUGAGAGUAACUGUUCAUCCCUUGACGGUAUCUAACCAGAAAGCCACGGCUAACUACGUGCCAGCAGCCGCGGUAAUACGUAGGUGGCAAGCGUUGUCCGGAUUUAUUGGGCGUAAAGCGAGCGCAGGCGGUUUCUUAAGUCUGAUGUGAAAGCCCCCGGCUCAACCGGGGAGGGUCAUUGGAAACUGGGAGACUUGAGUGCAGAAGAGGAGAGUGGAAUUCCAUGUGUAGCGGUGAAAUGCGUAGAUAUAUGGAGGAACACCAGUGGCGAAGGCGGCUCUCUGGUCUGUAACUGACGCUGAGGCUCGAAAGCGUGGGGAGCAAACAGGAUUAGAUACCCUGGUAGUCCACGCCGUAAACGAUGAGUGCUAAGUGUUGGAGGGUUUCCGCCCUUCAGUGCUGCAGCUAACGCAUUAAGCACUCCGCCUGGGGAGUACGACCGCAAGGUUGAAACUCAAAGGAAUUGACGGGGGCCCGCACAAGCGGUGGAGCAUGUGGUUUAAUUCGAAGCAACGCGAAGAACCUUACCAGGUCUUGACAUCCUUUGACCACUCUAGAGAUAGAGCUUCCCCUUCGGGGGCAAAGUGACAGGUGGUGCAUGGUUGUCGUCAGCUCGUGUCGUGAGAUGUUGGGUUAAGUCCCGCAACGAGCGCAACCCUUAUUGUUAGUUGCCAUCAUUCAGUUGGGCACUCUAGCAAGACUGCCGGUGACAAACGGAG
This 1136-nucleotide ribosomal RNA is filed under the name Enterococcus faecium. RNAcentral describes it as "bacterial SSU rRNA". The record is from RNAcentral. Lineage: Bacteria; Bacillati; Bacillota; Bacilli; Lactobacillales; Enterococcaceae.